This 172-nucleotide small RNA is filed under the name Meriones unguiculatus (Mongolian gerbil). Its description in RNAcentral is "TUC338 (ENSMUGG00000011917.1)". The record is from RNAcentral. Lineage: Eukaryota; Metazoa; Chordata; Mammalia; Rodentia; Muridae.
UUGACAGCUCUGGAAACAGAUGGUCCUUUUUUUCUCCCAAGAACAGAUAGAGCCUGAUAAACAGAGGUGUUCCUUCAACUACUUCUUAGUAAGCCUUCACCCUGAUAAAGCAGUGGCUGAAAGGAGACAGGCAUAGCCACCUUUUCCAGCCAGCUCUCUGUGUACUGCUUAG